GACAUGUGAUGACAAACUUAUGCGUGUCAUUUGAUUCCAAAUAAUUUGAUGUUUAGGUCAGCAAGGUGAGAGUGUUUUACUGUCAUUUGGCUGUCUAAACAUCUUUCUUUUGGCUAAUGAUAACAUUUCUUACUGAUGUC
RNAcentral lists this small nucleolar RNA (140 nucleotides) under Helobdella robusta. RNAcentral's name for it is "small nucleolar RNA SNORD10". It matches the Rfam family "Small nucleolar RNA SNORD10". The record is from Rfam by way of RNAcentral. Lineage: Eukaryota; Metazoa; Annelida; Clitellata; Rhynchobdellida; Glossiphoniidae.